This 9284-nucleotide long non-coding RNA is filed under the name Lathyrus oleraceus (garden pea). Its description in RNAcentral is "Pisum sativum (pea) long non-coding RNA (PSAT_LNC037724)". Lineage: Eukaryota; Viridiplantae; Streptophyta; Magnoliopsida; Fabales; Fabaceae. The record is from RNAcentral.
UCCCAACAGACCCUGCUCCACUACCUCUCCUCUCUCUCGUACCAGAAAAGACAAAAAAAGAAAAUAGAUAAAUGGGAACGUUACUCUCUCACUCUCAGACCACUAUUCACUCUCUCAAAAAAAAGACAAUCUCUCAAUUUCCUCUCAACUCUGAGCUCACACAAUCCCCUUCCUCUCUCGCCCCAAAUCUCUCACUCUCAAUUCUCAGCUGAAACUCUCACCGACAAACCCUCCUCUCUAAAAUCCGCCGCCACCACCUUCUACCACCACUAAACACUCACCAACCGUCAACCCUCCGAAUCCUUCAUCAUCUUCGUCAUCGCAACUCAACCGUUCACCGCCACCCAAAACCCCUACCGUCGCGGCGACUUCCACCUUCAAACCCUUAAACCACCUUCGAAACACCGUCAAAACCGCCGUCGCUCUCACCGGCAAACUCUCUCCAUCUACCUUCAAAUCGCGCCCUCACCGACAAACCCACACGAAACCUACUCAUCUCACAAUCUCCAAGCCGUCACCAUCCAUCAUCGCUUCCGUCCACAAUCGCGACCCAUCUUCACCGCUAAAACCUAAUCUCUAAAUCCGCCGUCAUCACCGUACCGAAGCCGUCGGUGACUUGUCAGUUCGCAACUAUCUUCGACCUUCAUCAACAGUUUGGGAUUGUGUUGUGUAAUUUUUCUGUUUUUUCAGGGAAAGUCUGAAGCUUUAGAGCCAUGGGUCCAGCACCGGUGACGAUUACAACUAGCCUCUGUUGAUAGCUUCAAAAGGAUUUUCUUAUGAUUCUGGAAACGGUUUCAAGUCGCGCUGAUUCCUCUUCUUCCGCAACAACCACAAAGACCGUUAUUACUCUACCACUCUCAGCACGGCGUCGAAACCGCUUCUUGUCCACAUUAAAGCAAGCCGGGCAGAUUGUUGAAACACCAUGGAUACGGGGAUUGGGUGGAAGAUCUCAGGCUGUUGCUGAUGAUGUACUCCUGAAAUAAGCUCUUGACAACUAUCCGUCUGUACGGUAACAGAUCGAUUUAAGCUUAUUUUAGAAUUAUGAUUGUUUCAUGACAGUAUUUGAUAUCUCUGGAUAAUGUGUGUGUUUGUGAUUUUUAUCUUCCGAUUCGUUCUGGUGGUAGAUGGUAUCAACAUAUUUUAUGCUGAAAAUUUCGUUGAGGAUUGUAAAUUUUUUCUCUGAAUAUUGUUACUCUGUGUCGUUACUGUUUCGUUUUGUGUUGAUACUACAAUAGCCCUGUAUAUAAUCACAAUUUGCGGUGACAUACUUUGAUACCAUUUUUAUUGUACAUAUUCAACUCUUGAUUAUGACUUGUUUUAGCUAUAUCAAAAGGAUUUGUUUUGUAUUGCCUGUGAAGUUUAUAGUUGCUUGUAGUAUCUCGUUCAUUUUUCAUUUGAAUUGAGAUUUGGAUUAUGAAUACCAACGUGCUUGCUUAUACACAACUUAUGCGACUUUCAGUUUGGAUUAUAUUUGGGAAGAUAUUUUAAGUGGGAACUGUAUUAAAAUUCUGCUCUUGAAUUAUUAGAUUAGUUUGUGGAUGGAUCACUAUUGUUGGUGCAAAUGAGUUAUUAGCCCACGGCAUUAUCAGAAUUCUAAUAAUCUCAUGAUUGGUUUACAACGAUUUUCUCAAAUGCAUGUUGUUUUUAUUGCUGAAAUUUAAAUUGGAUUAUCAAUUGCCUAAUGGACUUUAUAGUGUAUAUAUAAGUCUACUUUAAUCAUAAGGCAUNAGUUCCUUCCUUGAAAACACAAACUUUAGAACCUACCCUUGGGAAUUUCUAGUAAUCAGAAAAACCCGUAUUUCUUCCUGUUAUCCUGACGUACCCGACGUGUGAAUAAUCUUAAGUCUGUAUUCCUUUGCAAAAAACAUGGCAAAAUUUCAUGCAUUUGCAUAUCAUCAACAUGCAUUGCAUAUCAUCUCCCAGAAACAAAAUCUCACACCAUGUUCUGCCCUUUGUCCAGUAAACGCUGACUACUCGACACCGGUACGAGACACGCCGCAAUUACAAGAUGACACUUGAACAGCUUGAAGCUAACCAAGUUUCGAUGAGGACCGACAUUGACUCCAUGCAGGCAAAGAUGGAUCGCUUGCUUGAGACCAUGUUACUCUUGGCUCAGAAGGAGAAGGAUGCUGAGACUAACGCCGAAGCCAGGAAAAUUGCUGCCCAAUUUGGAUCACCAUCGCUCAGUAUCCCUGGAGUGAUUGACCUUGAUGGUAACCCUAAUCAGCCUAGAGAAGGACCGAUCCCUAUUCCGAUCCCAAUGGACAAUAUAAAACCCCACGAGCAUUCUACUGUAUCUGCUCGACACGGAUCUGUGAUAUGUGAUGAAGAUCCAUAUGACGCUUUCUUCAUGCCACAGCCCGUCCAGCCUGCUGUUGGAGGUCUCCCAGACCCAGCUGUUGACAGACUCCAUGCGUUGGAGGAAAAGUUUAAGUCCUUGGAGGUUCACACUACUCCCGGUUUGGACGCCGUCGAUAUGUGCUUGGUGCCAGGCCUUGUGAUUCCACAGAAGUUCAAAGUCCCGGACUUUGACAAGUACAAAGGGAUCAGCUGCCCAAGAACACACCUCAGAGCUUACUGCCGCAAAAUGGCCGCCCACAUCAGUAAUGAUCAACUCCUGAUUCAUUACUUCCAAGAUAGUCUCAGUGGGGCAUCUUUGGAGUGGUACAUGCAACUGGAGAGAGGACAGGUCCAAUCAUGGAGAGACCUUGCUGAAGCAUUCCUCAGGCAUUAUCAGUACAACACUGAUCUAGCACCCAAUCGCACCCAACUGCAAGACAUGACUCAACGCAACAAUGAGUCAUUCAAAGAAUACGCCCAGCGGUGGAGAGAGCUAGCAGCUCGUGUUCAACCUCCUCUCUUUGACAAAGAGCUAAUUGACAUGUUUAUGGGAACCCUACACACCCAGUACAUGGAGAAGAUGGUAGGAUCCAGUUUCCCAACUUUUGCUGAGGUCGUCUCCGUGGGAGAACGAAUCGAGAGCCAGAUCAAGAAGGGGAAACUACCUUGCGCUGCUAAUGCUUCAAGUGGGAUGAAGAAACCUUAUCCUAAUCUCCCAAAGAAGCCAGAAGGUCAAACCAAUUCCAUAAUGGGAGGAGGAGGAUAUAGGGCACGCCCGUAUGCUCCUAUGCCUUAUAAUCAGGUUGCCGCUGUCGUCCCGACACCAUAUCAGCCUCCAUAUCAGCAACCCCAUCAACAACAAUAUCAACAGCCUUAUCAACAAACAGCUUAUCAGCAUCAGAAUCAACAUCGACGUGCUCCACAACCACGUCCCCCCAAUCAGCAGAGGGCAAGGAGGCCAGAAAGGCAUUUCGAUCCUUUGCCAGUAUCAUAUAGCAAGAUCCUCCCCUACCUGCUAAAGGAUGGAUCGGUCGUUCUGAAGGAGAUAACACCUGUAACUCCACCAUAUCCUCCAGGCUACGACGCCAAUGCUCACUGUGAGUAUCACAUGGGUGCUCCAGGGCACACAAUAGAGAACUGUAAGGCUUUCAAGCACAAGGUUCAAGAUUUGGUUGACAGUAAAGCACUUACAUUCACGCCAGUGAGGCCAAACGUUGCAACAAACCCCAUGCCGGCGCAUGCAGAAUCAAGUGAAGCUCGAAGGUAAAGCUUCCCACCGGCCUAAACAAGCAGAGCAAUUCCGCUGAAGAACCCAGAGAUGAAGGCUUGUUCAUUUGAAUGAAGGCAAUCCUGAUGCCAUUUUUACCAUUUUGCAUUCUUGUAAUUUGAUCUUGUUUGUCUAAGUACUGUACGCUUUAAACAUUGUUAUUUGUAUUUGGUUUUGUUAAUGGGAUGGUUAUGCAUGCUUUGAAUCAAUCUUUCNGGAUGAAACCCUGCUGAUGAUGUACAGGCAUUGUUUCAAAUCCCCAAACACUGGAGAGAUAAGGAGUUAAUCCCUAGUCAACCACUUCGAGCCUAGAAGUAGGAGUUUCUUUCAGAUCUAAAAAACCUUUACGCUUAACCUGGGGCAGGGUAGUGUUCAGUUAACCUGACUACACAUACAAAUUACAAAGGUGAAGUAUCCCAUACGAGGAUCAACCAUAUGACACUCUUCACACACAUCAUGAAGUGUCGAAGGAACCAUACAAAUCCAGAAUCUAUGUCGGUUGUUCUUCAAUGACCAAUGUCCUGGCAGUCACAAUUAAAAAAAAGGUCGAAGAAAGAGCCCGCUAAGUCGAACACCCUAAAAGGAGACUUAGGCAAAAAACAGGGGCAAUCCCGAUGGAUUAAAGCUUCAAACAAAGCGGUCCAUGCAAAAGUUAGGGAUCAAAACAAAAAAUCGAAAGAGACAAUGAAAGUCCUCAACAAAAGCAAAACAAGAUUCAGUGACCACCAUACCAAAAUCAAAGGGUCGCCGACAUCCAAAAAAACGAAAUAAGGUGGCUGCCAUUCCAAGGGACUUUGAACCACCAUCUUUAUCCUUACACAUGCAAGAGAAGAAUGUGUGUGAAUUAACUGAACAUAGGAUUGGAGAUCAUCAUGAAGAAGGGGUGGGUUAAAAUAAACUUUGAGCCUUAUAUCCUUUUGUUUCAAAACCAUCGACCAACACAGCAACGCCUCAAAAGACCAAGUUGAGUAGUGGUUUAUUCUGAAAGCAUACAUACAAGUUAGUAACUGACUCCUAAAUAUUUUCCAAUAUUCUCCUCUCACUAUAUCACUCACACACUAGCUAAAUCAAGCACCGCGUUUGGACACAUGAUCCACUCGCCACACACUACCACAACACUUCCCAAAUGAAUGAUUAUUUUUCAAAACUUGCAUAACUGUUGCAUUAACAUCACCAUUUCGUAGAUAACAAUUCUUAAUUGUCAGUCAGUGCUUGACAUCGGAAAAUUCCAACAAGGAGUAAUUCAACGGGCACUUGAUUGUUGGUGCUGACACGAAUCCAGACCAUCCUGUGAAUCAGGGGCAUGGCAUCUUUUGAUCAUAUUGACCUAAGAAGUAGUCUGUGUAAGACAAAUCUCCAAGCAUCGGUUGAUCAGGGAGAAAAACACUUCAGUACUCGGCCCGUCUGAAGCAGGUCCCUCAAAGGCUAAUCAGGGGCAGACCAUAGCCAGAUUUGGACAUCAGGAAACAAACUCAGACCAUGUCAUGGGAUAAUCACUCCUAAGGUUUCUUGCAGGGAGAAUUCCUUUGAACACCCUACAAACAGGGGCAAGACAAGUUGCAAGGGGCAAAAUUCCCUUCAUAUCUUCAAGACAGUCAGGCAGAUUGCGUCAAACAUUAGUGACUGCUUGAAUUCACAACCAAAAUGUCAAAAGUUCGUACCAGUACAACAUCAUGCCUUGACAAGAAUCCUUGAGGCACGUCAAAAGCACAAUCAUCAUGCGCUGAUCACGUCGCUAUGCUCAGUUACAAGCUGGCCAAACACUUCAGAAGAAGAAACCAAGAUCUUCUCAAAGACAAAUACUCAACAUAUCAGCAAGAGAUCAAACCUGGGGCACCAAGAGUAUCCACAUCCAUUUCGUGUUCAUCAUAUCAUCAACUACUGAGUGUCGGGAAUGUCAGAUCCUUUCACCAAUCAAUAGCAUAUCCACAUUGACAAUUACCAAAAAAACCUAAAGCCCACAUUGUUGGCACCCACAUAAAACCAAAUAUAACCAACUUUGGUUUCCAGAAGAUGCAUUGCCUUUGAAAGGGGGGCCAAUCCCAAACAAACCAAUCAUUCUUUGCAUACAAACAUGCAUUUCAUGCAUCAUAUGCAUCACCUCAUACAUAAUACAUACAUAUCAUUCAUGUACAUAACACAAAUCAAGAUCCAAGGUUUAGUCGUAGGCAUACAGGCCAACCCUCAGUUGAGUCGUUAUUUUUCUCUGAGUGAGUUCCUACCCUACUAUCGGGCGUUCCCCAUUGAGUUACAUCCUUCAACCUUUUGUUGAUAAGAUGUUAUCCUCAGCUUAGUCAAACAAUGUUUCUUUAAACACCUAUUUUUUUUUUCACGUUGAGCGUCCCUCAAUGAGUCGUUUCCCAUAACCUUUUGUUGACAGAAAUUACAUCUCCCCAGAGAACAUUGGCUCUGCAACCUUUUGUUGUUGAUACCCCCAAGCAAGUCUUACCCAAUAAUGUCCCAAUACUACCCAACAAAUCGGGUUUACUGGACUUUGACAGUAGCCUUAUUUUUCCAAUAUUUUUCUCACUACCAUCCUUUUGGUGAAAGUCCAUGGAGGAAUAAUACCAGUCAUCACCUUGUUUAUGAUCACCGUUAUCCUUUUGGUAAUGGUAAAUUCUUGACAUUUGUGAUCUUACUGUCAUCCUUUUGGUGUCGAAGAUCAUUGAAGUUUUAAGCUAACCUUCAUCCUUUUGAAUCACCUUGUUUAUGAUCACCGUUAUCCUUUUGGUAAUGGUAAAUUCUUGACAUUUGUGAUCUUACUGUCAUCCUUUUGGUGUCGAAGAUCAUUGAAGUUUUAAGCUAACCUUCAUCCUUUUGGUGAUGGUGACCUCUGCAAUUAUUACACCCCACUGUCAUCCUUUUGGUGUCAGUAAUAUUUGAAGUCAUUAUAACUUAUUAUCAUCCUUUUGGUGGUAACGAGUUUCGAAGUUAUGAUUCCACCUUCAUCCUUUUGGUGAUGGUGAUUGUUGAUUCAUUAUCAUCCUUUUGGUGAUAACGAGUUCUGUUGUUUGUAGCGCCUUCAUCCUUUUGGUGAUGGUGACUAUUGACUUAUUAUCAUCCUUUUGGUGGUAACAAGUUUUGUCGUUUUAACAAUACCUUCAUCCUUUUGGUGAUGGUGAGUGUUGACUUCUUAUCAUCCUUUUGGUGAUAACAAGUUUGUGUCUUGAUCUUACCUUCAUCCUUUUGGUGAUGGCGAUCAUUUGUGUUGUCAGCUUAUUAUCAUCCUUUUGGUGGUAACUAAGUUUUGUCGUUUGACAAAUACCUUCAUCCUUUUGGUGAUGGUGAUUGUUGACUUCUUAUCAUCCUUUUGGUGAUAACAAGUUUGUGUUUUGAUCUUACCUUCAUCCUUUUGGUGAUGGUGAUCAUUUGCGUGUGUGCUUCUUAUCAUCCUUUUGGUGGUAACAAGUUUUAUCUUUUGAUUAUACCUUCAUCCUUUUGGUGAUGGUGGUUAUCAUCCUUUUGGUGAUAACAAGUUUGUGUCUUGAUCCUACCUUCAUCCUUUUGGUGAUGGUGAUCAAUUGUGUUGUGUUCUUAUUAUCAUCCUUUUGGUGAUAACAAGUUUGUGUCCUGAUUAUACCUUCAUCCUUUUGGUGAUGGUGAUUAUUGAAGUUAUCUGACUUAUUAUCAUCCUUUUGGUGAUAACAAGCUUUGUUGUUGGAUCUUACCUUCAUCCUUUUGGUGACGGUGAUCUUUGAAGUUUAUGAGUUAACUAUCAUCCUUUUGGUGAUAGCCUUGAUCCUAUACUCUCAGUAAUGGAAAAAUUUACCAGAAUGACCAUCAUCCUUUUGGUGAUAGAAAUCUGUGAAUUGUGUCUAACUUUCAUCCUUUAGGUGAUAGCGAGAUUUGUUGUUGAUCUGACCAUCAUCCUUUUGGUGAUGGCGAUCUUUGUUGCACCCACUGUAACCAUUAUCCUUUUGGUGAUGACUACCUUAAAAGCUCAGCUUAUCCAUCAUCCUUUUGGUGAUGACAAUCCUCAAAAUCAUGGUGAAUCUCUGUCAUCCUUUUGGUGUCAGAAAACCAGUCCCACCUUUGUCUUCACAUCAGAAAUAACCUGUGCCAGAUUUGAAUGUUGACUCGAGGGUUGGCAUUGAUCGAACAUCCUACCCCCAUUACCUUGGCAUCCAUUGCAUUUUCAUCUGCAUCUCUCCAUUGCAUUUCAAAGGACAAAAUUUGGAUCCUUUAGUAUUUAAUUACCUUCCACCACGAAUGUAUGAUGACCUUUAUCAUUCUUACUUUCUAGUUCAAGAUAAUUAAAUAGGGGCAGCUGUCGUACCCCAAUUUUGUCCGGGCAUUUUUAAUUUUUUCAAAAUUAAUUUCAGUUUCAUUUUUGCAUCAUACGCAUAGCAUGACAUACAUUUGCAUCAUGAAUAAACACCUAAAAUGUCAGUCAGAAGGAAUUUAUUUGAGAAUACAGAAAAAAUCGGUUGAAUCGUUAAAAUUUGAGAAAAGACUGUAUUUUUAAUAAGUAGGUUUUGUGCUGACAAUUUUAAUGUGACUGGUUUAUUUAUUAUUAUUAUUUUUUUUAUUUUUUUAUUUUCUUUCUUUUUUCGAAUUAAAUUUGUACUCGAUUUUUUUUAAUUGGUCAAAUAUUAGUUAGAGUUUUUUUUUAAAUAUUAUUUAAUUAAAUAUUAGUUAAUGUUUUUUAUAUUAAUUAGUUUUUUUAUAUUAGUUAGAUUUUUUCUAAAAUAGUAGUUAAUUUUAGUUUUUAAAUAUUAAUUAGUUUGUUUAGUUAGAUUUUGUAAAAUAUUAGUUAGAGUAUUUUUUUUUUAAUAUUAAUUAGUUUUUCUAAAUAUUAGUUAGUUUUUAAAUAUUAGUUAGAUUUUUCUUUUUAAUAUUAAUUAGUUUUUUUUAGUGUUAAUUAGUUUAAGAGUUAGUUAGCUUUUUUAUUAGUUAAUUUUUAAAUAGUAGUUAGUUAGAGUUUUUAAAAUAUUAAUUAGUUUUUUUAUUUUUUAUGAAUAUAUGUAUUUUACAUUGGAUUCCAAUCCAUAAAAAAACAAAAAAAACAAAAUCUCCCAACGUCUCUCUCCAUCCACUCCCAACAGACCCUGCUCCACUACCUCUCCUCUCUCUCGUACCAGAAAAGACAAAAAAAGAAAAUAGAUAAAUGGGAACGUUACUCUCUCACUCUCAGACCACUAUUCACUCUCUCAAAAAAAAGACAAUCUCUCAAUUUCCUCUCAACUCUGAGCUCACACAAUCCCCUUCCUCUCUCGCCCCAAAUCUCUCACUCUCAAUUCUCAGCUGAAACUCUCACCGACAAACCCUCCUCUCUAAAAUCCGCCGCCACCACCUUCUACCACCACUAAACACUCACCAACCGUCAACCCUCCGAAUCCUUCAUCAUCUUCGUCAUCGCAACUCAACCGUUCACCGCCACCCAAAACCCCUACCGUCGCGGCGACUUCCACCUUCAAACCCUUAAACCACCUUCGAAACACCGUCAAAACCGCCGUCGCUCUCACCGGCAAACUCUCUCCAUCUACCUUCAAAUCGCGCCCUCACCGACAAACCCACACGAAACCUACUCAUCUCACAAUCUCCAAGCCGUCACCAUCCAUCAUCGCUUCCGUCCACAAUCGCGACCCAUCUUCACCGCUAAAACCUAAUCUCUAAAUCCGCCGUCAUCACCGUACCGAAGCCGUCGGUGACUUGUCAGUUCGCAACUAUCUUCGAC